UUUGGGAGAGAUCAAAAAGUUUUAGAACUUAAAAUAUUAAGGCUGAGUGAAAGAACAUAAAUCAUUUUUCUUUUAUUUCCUCUUCAAAAGUUUAAGGCUGAGCUUUACUUUAGAGUUUCAUUUCGUUUCUUUGAGUGUUCACAAGCAGAAAUACUAUCUUUCUUGCAUUUGCCUCACUUUUGCUUUAACUGUGAGUGCAUCUAGAGUGUUACCGGGUUUUCAAUGUGAUAUACCUUGGGUUUCUGUUGAUAUCUAUCUUCUGUAGCUACUAUUAUUCAUUUGGUGUUCCUGGGCUCCUUCUAUUUGGUUUUCAAUCUGCUACUGGGUUAUCUGUUAUUGGAUUCACUGGUUGUAUUGUUGUGUUGCUGUACUGCUACCGCUGUGAUUCUACUACUUCUACUGAUCCUCCUUGUUCUUUGCUUUUCCAAAUGCCAGGUACACACAAUUAAUACACUAGUUCAAUAUAGCUGAAAAUUGAAGUAUGAAUAAAAUGAAGUCUUAAAGCUUUGAAUUUAUUUAGUUGUAUUUUAUAUCUUAAGUUGUAUAUAUGUAGUUAUUAGUCUUCACUAGAAUCAUGUGAGCAAUUGGUCGUGUAUAACUGAGCACUAAACUGUAGUAGUUCAUAUUAUAAACUCCUUACCUUGUAUACUAGAUUAAAAGAACACAUGUUGUAGUAGUAAUGUUUUACCCCUUAUAUGUUUAAAGGCAUACUCCAAGUGCAUGUCAGGCUUUAGGUUAAUCAAUCAGUAGUUUAAACUAGUUUGGUUAAUAGCUUAUUUAUUUAGAUUCAUAAAAUAGGUUUUAUUAGCUGCUGAUCUCAUUUCUGCCCCAUUGUAAUAUCUCAAACGUGUAGUAUAAUGUAACUAAGCCUCCAAAUCAGAAUGGGACGGCCCAGGUCCAGUU
This 903-nucleotide long non-coding RNA is filed under the name Nicotiana benthamiana. RNAcentral describes it as "long non-coding RNA (NBEN_LNC022273)". The record is from RNAcentral. Lineage: Eukaryota; Viridiplantae; Streptophyta; Magnoliopsida; Solanales; Solanaceae.